UCCGUUCGGGUGGGGAAGUAUCAACCGGAAACGGUUAGUUAAUUACCGCAUAAUGCAGCGGCUCGACAUCGAGACAGUUGUUAAAGCGGGGGAUCGCAAGACCUCGCGCCUGAAGAGAAGCCUGCGGCAGAUUAGCUAGUUGGUAAGGUAAUGGCUUACCAAGGCGACGAUCUGUAACCGGCCUGAGAGGGCGGUCGGUCACACUGACACUGAAUAACGGGUCAG
Molecule: ribosomal RNA, 225 nt
Filed under: uncultured bacterium
Lineage: Bacteria
Description: partial 16S ribosomal RNA
Rfam family: Bacterial small subunit ribosomal RNA
Source: RNAcentral